AUGAACGCUGGUGGCGUGUCUAAGGCAUGCAAGUCGAACGUGUUGUGCCGCAAGGUACGACAAGUGGCAAACGGGUGCGUAACACAUUGGUAACCUGCCUCCGACUCGGGUACAACCUGGAGAAAUCCGGGCUAAUCCCCGAUGAUCAUGAACCCACGAUGUGGGAUUAUGUAAAGGUGCAAAUCGGUCGGAGAGGGGCCUAUGGUCUAUCAGCUAGUUGGUGAGGUAAUGGCUCACCAAGGCUACGACGGAUAGCGGGCGUGAGAGCGCGACCCGCCUCACUGGGACUGAGACACUGCCCAGACUCCUACGGGAGGCUGCAGUCAAGAAUCUUCCCCAAUGGCCGAAAGGCUGAGGGAGCGACGCCGCGUGCAGGAAGAAGCUCUUCGGAGUGUAAACUGCUUUUUUGUGGGAAAAAUUAAUGAUUGUACCAUAAGAAUAAGGGGCUGCUAACUUCGU
Molecule: ribosomal RNA, 459 nt
Filed under: uncultured bacterium
Lineage: Bacteria
Description: bacterial SSU rRNA
Rfam family: Bacterial small subunit ribosomal RNA
Source: RNAcentral